Long non-coding RNA from Vespa mandarinia (Asian giant hornet), 878 nucleotides. The record is from RefSeq and is a predicted model, not a curated record. Lineage: Eukaryota; Metazoa; Arthropoda; Insecta; Hymenoptera; Vespidae.
GCAAACAUUCAAACAAUACUUUUAAAACAAUUACAUGAAAUGUUUUCUCAUUACAGAAACCAUUAUUGAGAGUCUUAAUAAAAUUUUGGUCAACUGAUGAAGAAACUGUUCAAGUUGUUUCAUUUUUAUAUACAUUACGUAUUGCAACCAUUCAUAAGAUAUCUUUGCUUGAAAUAUUAUUAAAGUCGAUUUUCUACGUCAAGUACGUAGAAAAUUCCAAAUAUGUAUCGCCGAAUACUUCGCCAGAAAUAAAUUUUAUGAGGCAUUCUUUAACAGAGAUUUAUUUUGACUUUGCAUACAGUCAUGCCUUUUUAUAUAUCAGACAGCUUGCUAUUCAUUUAAGGAAUGCAGUAACUUUGAAGAAAAAGUAUAUAAUUGAAGGCAUGUAAAUUUAUUAUUCUUCUGAUCCAAGUCAACAACACUCUAAAAAAAACAAUUAAUUUUACACUCUUUGUUAUACCCUUUAGUACAGGUAUGUUGGCGAUCAUAUUAAUUGCAUAUCAAUUAUUUAGUUAAGUAGAUGGUAAUUAUUAAUUGCGUAUUACCAGAUUAUUAUUGGAAGAAUUAAAGUAAUACCGAGUCAACAAAUUAUGUUUCCACUAUUUGCAAUCGUUAUUUAACAUUUUUAAGGAAACAAAUACUUUCACAUUUAUUUUACCAUUUCUAUUUGGGGUAUAGUAGUUAAUUAAUACGUAUAAAAAAGUAUCUACGUUUUUAAAAAAGCAUAAAGCUGUACCAAUGAAACCAAUAUCUUUAAUUUGUAUAUUAAAAAUAUUUAAAUAUAGUAUAAUUGAUGGUCUCUACCGAUUAAUAUUAGAAAUAGUAGCAAAGGAUGGCCAUUUAAUGUUUCCCCGAUUUUUAUGUUCCUUGUAUAAUAU